UAGCAUGAAGUCAAACAAGUGACCCCGCUGAAUUUAAGCAUACAAUAACGCGGGGAAGAAAAGGGGGGGGGGGAGGAGGG
This 80-nucleotide ribosomal RNA is filed under the name Symbiodinium sp. ex Turbinaria frondens. RNAcentral describes it as "partial 28S ribosomal RNA". The record is from RNAcentral. Lineage: Eukaryota; Dinophyceae; Suessiales; Symbiodiniaceae.